Molecule: ribosomal RNA, 172 nt
Filed under: Clostridium perfringens
Lineage: Bacteria; Bacillati; Bacillota; Clostridia; Eubacteriales; Clostridiaceae
Description: partial 16S ribosomal RNA
Rfam family: Bacterial small subunit ribosomal RNA
Source: RNAcentral
GUGAAUACGUUCCCGGGCCUUGUACACACCGCCCGUCACACCACGAGAGUUUGUAACACCCGAAGUCGGUGAGGUAACCUUUUGGAGCCAGCCGCCUAAGGUGGGACAGAUGAUUGGGGUGAAGUCGUAACAAGGUAGCCGUAUCGGAAGGUGCGGCUGGAUCACCUCCUUU